UCUCUUUGUAUUAAUUAAAUAAAGAGUUGGGCCUGCUCAGUGAAUAUUUAAACAGCUGCGGUAUUUUAACUGUACUAAGGUAGCAUAAUAAUUUGCCUUAUAAAUUGAGGCUAGAAUGAAAGGUUUGACGAAGGUUUAUCUGUCUCUAGUUUAUUUAUUAGAAUUUAAUUUUUUAGUGAAAAAGCUAAAAUAGUUUAAAGGGAAGAGAAGACCCUAUUGAGCUUUAAUUUUAAUAGGUUAUAAUAAAUAUUAUAGUAAAAUAGAAAUUUUAAUUGGGGUGAUUAAGGAAUAAAAAAGUAACUUCCUUAAAAAUAAAAUUGUUAGGUUAAGUAACCAAUUGUAUUGCUUAUAUAAAGUUACCAUAGGGAUAACAGCGUAAUUUAUUUAGCAAGCUCUAAUUAAAAAAUAAGAUUGCGACCUCGAUGUUGGAUUAAAGUAACCUUAAGGUGUAGAAGCUUUAAUUGGUAAAUCUGUUCGAUUUUUAAAACUUUAC
This 493-nucleotide ribosomal RNA is filed under the name Rhombosepion elegans. Its description in RNAcentral is "partial 16S ribosomal RNA". It matches the Rfam family "Bacterial large subunit ribosomal RNA", at positions 1818 to 2599 of the family's 2925-position model. Lineage: Eukaryota; Metazoa; Mollusca; Cephalopoda; Sepiida; Sepiidae. The record is from RNAcentral.